This 253-nucleotide ribosomal RNA is filed under the name uncultured bacterium. RNAcentral describes it as "partial 16S ribosomal RNA". It matches the Rfam family "Bacterial small subunit ribosomal RNA", at positions 524 to 776 of the family's 1533-position model. The record is from RNAcentral.
UACGGAGGGUGCAAGCGUUAUCCGGAUUCACUGGGUUUAAAGGGUGCGUAGGUGGGUUGGUAAGUCAGUGGUGAAAUCCCCGAGCUUAACUUGGGAACUGCCAUUGAUACUAUUAAUCUUGAAUACCGUGGAGGUUAGCGGAAUAUGUCAUGUAGCGGUGAAAUGCUUAGAUAUGACAUAGAACACCAAUUGCGAAGGCAGCUGGCUACACGAAUAUUGACACUGAUGCACGAAAGCGUGGGGAUCAAACAGG